CUCCAUGAAGUAAAAUUUCAUCAACUGUUUAAUCCCUUUACUGUUCGUCCUGAUCGACCAGCACGUUCGUAGGCAGACGCCGUGUAUAUGGGAGCGACCAUUAGUUGAGGAAAUGAGUUGUCUCCUAAUAUGCAGAAUAAGUUCAUUUCCGAUGUACCUGCUAGAUUAGCAAAGUGCAUCAAAUCAGAAGCCUAUGGUGAUGCAGUAAAAUACUAUACGGGAGCCAUGCCCAUAUUUAAGGCAUAUGGGGACAGUUCAUUCCAUGACUACAAACGAGCCUCAGAAGAAGCAAUUGCUGUCAUUAUUAAAGGCUUGCAGGUCUGUAAGUCAUCCAAUUUAUUGGUUGGGAGUGGCCAUUUUAUCCCAUGGAGCACAUUGUAAAUAUGCCUGGUGACAAGAAGUUGAUGUUGAAAUUUCCUGCCUUCAAUGUCAUUAAUAUUGGAUCACAUGCCGGAAACAAACUUGCAAUGCAGCAAUUCUUAUUAUAUCUGGAGAGCUAUUGUACAUGCAACAAUCAUGUUUGACAGCAUGGCUUCUACACGAAACUCACCCAUUUUUCCACCCACUUUGGUUAACUUACCAUCCUCAUCAACGACAACAAGCGCACACAACAGCUCCAGCGCUUUAAGUACACCUUCAGUUGCUGCACUAUCCAUCAAGUCAAACUUCAUCAAGUGUUUAAGUCCUUGUGUAACACCACGACCUAACGUAAGGAACUGUUCGUUCUCAUCGACAACCAGGUUGGUUGGUAGACGCCUUUGAAAUGCGAGCGACCAUAAAUAACUCGGUUCCUGUCCGAGG
Long non-coding RNA from Nicotiana attenuata, 801 nucleotides. RefSeq lists it as uncharacterized. NCBI's taxonomy places the organism in Eukaryota, Viridiplantae, Streptophyta, Magnoliopsida, Solanales, Solanaceae. The record is from RefSeq and is a predicted model, not a curated record. The transcript is spliced from 7 exons.